AGUGAACGCUGGCGGUAGGCCUAACACAUGCAAGUCGAACGGCAGCACAGUAAGAGCUUGCUCUUACGGGUGGCGAGUGGCGGACGGGUGAGGAAUACAUCGGAAUCUACUUUUUCGUGGGGGAUAACGUAGGGAAACUUACGCUAAUACCGCAUACGACCUACGGGUGAAAGCAGGGGAUCUUCGGACCUUGCGCGAUUGAAUGAGCCGAUGUCGGAUUAGCUAGUUGGCGGGGUAAAGGCCCACCAAGGCGACGAUCCGUAGCUGGUCUGAGAGGAUGAUCAGCCACACUGGAACUGAGACACGGUCCAGACUCCUACGGGAGGCAGCAGUGGGGAAUAUUGGACAAUGGGCGCAAGCCUGAUCCAGCCAUACCGCGUGGGUGAAGAAGGCCUUCGGGUUGUUAAGCCCUUUUGUUGGGAAAGAAAAGCAGCAGGUUAAUACCCCGCUGUUCUGACGGUACCCAAAGAAUAAGCACCGGCUAACUUCGUG
RNAcentral lists this ribosomal RNA (492 nucleotides) under uncultured bacterium. RNAcentral's name for it is "partial 16S ribosomal RNA". It matches the Rfam family "Bacterial small subunit ribosomal RNA", at positions 29 to 507 of the family's 1533-position model. The record is from RNAcentral.